AAAAAACCAAAAUGGCUCCCCCACAUCACUCUUCAUCAUCUUCUUCUCCUUUGAUAAUUCUCAAAACCAUAUUCGUUAUCCUUCUUCAAUCACCUAAAGGGACUAGAUCCCAAUCAAGCCUAUGUAUAAAUUAUAGUGGAAAUAUUCCCAUAAAUUAUCCAUUUGGGAUCAACGACGGUUGUGGAAGCCCUUAUUACAAACACAUGUUGGCUUGUUCCGACAACGCCAAACUGAGAACUCCAUCUGGAAGAUACCCAGUUAAAUCCAUAAGCUACUCCUAUCUUCACAUCCUUGUCUCAGACCCUUUCAUGUGGAGUUGCGACAAUAGAGAGAAUUUUCGACCCACCUUUGAAUUUUCGACAAAGGAUGAAACACUAGGUUUGGAAAGAGGAUGAAAUUAGGGCUUCGCGUUUUUUUGUUUUGAUUUUCUCUCUUUCGAUUUUUCCAUCUUUAAAAUUUUAGGGAUUUUUUCGUUUCGUACCGGUUUAUUAAACCGGGGUUAGAUCGGUUUUGGACCGUUUUCGUUUAAAAAAAUUGUUGAUGUGUCAAACUUUUAAAUAAAAUCGCUGACGUAUCAACAAUCCGACAAUAUAUAAAUUUCCAUUCGUCUGAAAAAUUGAUCAAAGUGAUCAACGGUUUUAUAGACUUCGAAGUUUUUUUCCAGUUACAAAUUACAAGUCUGAAUAUUAAUUGACAGUUUUUCAAAUUUAAAAGUUUUUUUUUUAUAUUUUAACAAGUUCGAAAGUUUUUGGUGAUUUUAUCCUUAAAAAAAAAAAGAUAAAUUUGUUUACGAGGACCAAAAAGCGGAAAUGUUCGGGAAAUAAUGUCAUUUCCAACCUAAGUUUUCCUCUCUUCGUUCCCACGCAGACUCGCCAUCCAUCGUUGUUGUCUUCUACCACCGCGUUGUCUCUGCUUCGACCGUCCACAUCUCAUCUCUCCCGUCACUGCUUCGUCGGCUACUUGUUUACACCUCUGUCUCACUUUCAUCGCACUCGGCCGAAAAUCGAGCCCUAACUUUGUCUCAGUUAAGCAGCCGUAUGGUGGCAGUGAAAAUUUCUUCCUUGGGCCCCAUAUGUCUUUUGUUUUGUUAGGCAAAACUUGCCUAUAAAUGAAGGCUUCGCAACAAGGGGGAGAGACAACACAGAGCGAGCGAGAGCAAGAAGCAGAAGGAAAAAAAAAAGUUGGGAGAGUGAAAAAAGUGAGAAAAAUAGUGUGGGUAUUUGGGAAGAGAUUCGAUCUAGAUGUUUUAUCUGAUCGAUCUAAAAUUGUGAGGAGAGUUUUACACUCAUACAAAGGUUUUUCAGAAGCUGUUCUCUACAGACCUAGUCUGCAUAGUUCUGAUCGUCGGGAUAUAUGACGGUGGUUUUUCGUCUCCAGUUGAGUUGCAAAUCGGUAUAAUUGUUCCUGACCCUUUUGUCUUUGAUUUUUACGGUUUGAGUUGUUGACGAAAUCAGAAGUCACGGGUUGAUUUGCAGUUUUGUUACUACUUGUGGUCGGGUAAUAUUCUCUCGGGUUACUGAGAUUAGAAUAUUGGAGUUAAUAUUUUGUAAUCUCAGUAUGUUGCUGUGUGAAUGUUGUAAUCUAAUUAUAAUGAAUUUUUGGGUGGACUAUACAGUCUUGUGGUUUUUAGUCUCACACCGAUGGGGUUUUCCACGUUAAAAAUCGUUGUCCCUUUUAUUUCGGUACCGUUGCACUAGAUAUUGUCAUGCUCGCAGGUUUACACAAGUAAGGGGUUUGUCUUACUGAUUCAUAACAAACAAUCGAAGUAACGUAAAACCCCCAACAAUUACCAGCAGUGUAUAUUGUUUGUCUGUGAUUAUCAGUUCUUCGAUUUUUGUCUGCACGUGAUUUGAUUUGUUUUCCAAUGUCGUCUGGAACUUAUUUUAGAGAUUGCACUGGUGACUGAAUGCAUUGGUUACUGCGAUCGCGGUGUUGUUCCUCUUGGGUAUAAGCUGAUCGAUGUUUGGCUAUCAGAUCAUUCCGUUCUUGAAGGUUGUUUACUUGUUUGUAUAUGAGCUCUGCUUGAAGCUUAAUUUGUUCUCCUUGUAUUUUCUGGAGUCAUUGAGGCAACCCUAAUGGAUUUAUGGUUUACAUUU
Molecule: long non-coding RNA, 2096 nt
Organism: Tarenaya hassleriana
Lineage: Eukaryota; Viridiplantae; Streptophyta; Magnoliopsida; Brassicales; Cleomaceae
Exons: 2
Source: RefSeq, a predicted model, not a curated record